AUACGGAGGGGGCUAGCGUUGUUCGGAAUUACUGGGCGUAAAGCGCGCGUAGGCGGUUUGCCAAGUCAGGCGUGAAAGCCCCGGGCUCAACCCGGGAACUGCGUUUGAAACUGGCAGGCUUGAGGCCGGGAGAGGGUAGUGGAAUUCCCAGUGUAGAGGUGAAAUUCGUAGAUAUUGGGAAGAACACCAGUGGCGAAGGCGGCUACCUGGACCGGUUCUGACGCUGAGGUGCGAAAGCGUGGGGAGCAAACAGGAUUAGAAACCCCGGUAGUCC
RNAcentral lists this ribosomal RNA (274 nucleotides) under uncultured bacterium. RNAcentral's name for it is "partial 16S ribosomal RNA". It matches the Rfam family "Bacterial small subunit ribosomal RNA", at positions 523 to 796 of the family's 1533-position model. The record is from RNAcentral.